RNAcentral lists this ribosomal RNA (564 nucleotides) under Bacillus sp. HPCPS17. RNAcentral's name for it is "bacterial SSU rRNA". It matches the Rfam family "Bacterial small subunit ribosomal RNA", at positions 34 to 578 of the family's 1533-position model. The record is from RNAcentral. Lineage: Bacteria; Bacillati; Bacillota; Bacilli; Caryophanales; Bacillaceae.
CGNANUGGCNGGCGUGCCUAAUACAUGCAAGUCGAGCGGACGGAUGGGAGCUUGCUCCCUGAAGUCAGCGGCGGACGGGUGAGUAACACGUGGGCAACCUGCCUGUAAGACUGGGAUAACUCCGGGAAACCGGGGCUAAUACCGGAUAACUCUUUUCCUCACAUGAGGAAAAGCUGAAAGAUGGUUUCGGCUAUCACUUACAGAUGGGCCCGCGGCGCAUUAGCUAGUUGGUGAGGUAACGGCUCACCAAGGCCACGAUGCGUAGCCGACCUGAGAGGGUGAUCGGCCACACUGGGACUGAGACACGGCCCAGACUCCUACGGGAGGCAGCAGUAGGGAAUCUUCCGCAAUGGACGAAAGUCUGACGGAGCAACGCCGCGUGAGUGAUGAAGGUUUUCGGAUCGUAAAACUCUGUUGUCAGGGAAGAACAAGUACCGGAGUAACUGCCGGUACCUUGACGGUACCUGACCAGAAAGCCACUGCUAACUACGUGCCAUCUGCCGCGGUAAUACGUAGGUGUCAAGCGUUGUUCGGAAUUACCGGGCGUUCANCCCCGCUUGGCGG